RNAcentral lists this microRNA precursor (141 nucleotides) under Brassica napus (rape). Its description in RNAcentral is "pre miRNA MIR2118". Lineage: Eukaryota; Viridiplantae; Streptophyta; Magnoliopsida; Brassicales; Brassicaceae. The record is from RNAcentral.
UGGAGUUGGAGGAGAACGAAUUGGGGGAGAACGCAAGGGUUCAACCGCAAAAGGUAAGAAUUAGAAAGUUUUGGUUCUAAUUCUUACCUUUUGCGGUUGAACCCUUGCGUUCUCCCCCAAUUCGUUCUCCUCCAACUCCAC